GUGGUUGCCGGCAAUGCAGAGGCAGAUGAUGC
RNAcentral lists this non-coding RNA (32 nucleotides) under Geobacter sulfurreducens KN400. The record is from RNAcentral. Lineage: Bacteria; Pseudomonadati; Thermodesulfobacteriota; Desulfuromonadia; Geobacterales; Geobacteraceae.